ACGAAGUAGUGUUGACGAGAUUUCUGUUUUUCUGAAUACCCUUCGAAUUUUUCCAUUUGUAUUUCUACUUGAAAUAGAGAAAAAAGCAUUUCUCGGUUUAUCAAAUGAUGAUACAUAGUGCAAUAUGGUCAGAACAAGGUGUUGCAUAAUACAAACCCAGGAAAGAAAGGGAGUCUAAUCCAUAGAACUUUUUCCGCUCCUUUUCUAUCUAAUUAGUUUAUGUUUGUUCUAAUUAUAAAACAAACAAGAACAAAUCUUUUAUUUUUGCAGGCCAAUCGCUCUUUUGACUUUGGAAUACAGUCUCUUUAUCAAUAUACUGUUUCUUUUACACAUUCAAUUCAUAACAUCUCUUUUCAAUCCAUAAUCAAGAAUAAUUAGGAUUUCUAAAAAAAAAAGUAAAGGGUCCAUUCAUAGGAAAACCUAACCUUUCCCCACAUUAGGCACUAAUCUAUUUUUAACGUCUAA
This 465-nucleotide long non-coding RNA is filed under the name Zea mays. RNAcentral describes it as "drought responsive lncRNA". The record is from RNAcentral. Lineage: Eukaryota; Viridiplantae; Streptophyta; Magnoliopsida; Poales; Poaceae.